RNAcentral lists this ribosomal RNA (773 nucleotides) under uncultured Neocallimastigales. RNAcentral's name for it is "partial large subunit ribosomal RNA". It matches the Rfam family "Eukaryotic large subunit ribosomal RNA", at positions 20 to 645 of the family's 3401-position model. Lineage: Eukaryota; Fungi; Neocallimastigomycota; Neocallimastigomycetes; Neocallimastigales. The record is from RNAcentral.
ACUAGAGUAGCACUCGCAUAUCAAUAAGCGGAGGAAAAGAAACUAACAAGGAUUCCCCUAGUAACGGCGAGUGAAGCGGGAAGAGCUCAAAUUUGAAAUCUUAAAGGGUUUCCCUUUACGAAUUGUAGUUUAAAGAAGUGUUUUCUGUUGAGGUUUUGGUAAAAGUUCUUUGGAAUAGGACAUCAUAGAGGGUGAGAAUCCCGUAUUUGACCUUUACUUUCAACUUUGUGAUACACUUUCAAAGAGUCGGAUUGUUUGGGAAUGCAGUCCAAAAUGGGUGGUAAAUUUCAUCUAAAGCUAAAUAUUGGCGAGAGACCGAUAGCGAACAAGUACCGUGAGGGAAAGAUGAAAAGAACUUUGAAAAGAGAGUUAAACAGUACGUGAAAUUGUCAAAAGGGAAGCGUUUGACACCAGUGUUGUUUUUCUGAAAAUCAAUUAAAGAACUGUUUAUGCUAAGUUGUUUAGACUUUAUCAGCUAUCUGUUUAGUUUUGAGCUUUUCUUUAAUGCACUUUUCAGUUAACAAGUCAACAUCAAUUUCUUUUGCUGUAAAAAAGCUUGAGGAAGGUGGCUUGAGAUUCGUCUUAAGUGUUUAUAGCCUCUUGCCUAUGCAGUCGGAGAGAUUGAGGUCUGCAGCGUAGAUCCUUCGGGGCUAAAUGCAUUUGUGCUAAGUUAUAGCAUUUUAUAGACAACUUGUUGACUAUGACUUGUCUUGUAGCUUACUCGCUUAUGUUGUUUUACCUACGCUUAGGAUGUUGAUCUCUCACAGUCGAGC